ACUGAUUUUUCUGCAUUUCCAUAAUUUCUGCCUGUUUUCUCUGCAACUCUUGGUUCAGUUCUCUAAGUUUUGCAACCUCUGCUUCUAGCUCCAAUGUAUAGGCCUGCAUGCGAGCCCUUGACCUUGCAGCAGACUCUCUAUUUUUUAUCAUUCUCCGAUGUCUUCUCUCAAUUACCUUCUCCAAAGCUGCACUGGCUUUUCUUCCCCGGCCAAACAUAAUAGGAACUGGUGAAAGUGAAGAAGGCGUAUCUGCAUUAUUUUUUGUGAUCAUAUCUGGUGAUAUCUGAUUUGCAGGAGCUGGUGUUACAACUGUAACAGCCCCAGCACCUAAACCAACCAUUCCCAUUCCUCCACCAUGAACUAAAUUAUUGUUUAUCGAUGUAUCUGCAAUCCCAACAACUGAACUCCUCACUCCUGGUUUGGCAAGCUGAGCACUGCUCACUAAAUGCAUAGGUGAUGCAAAAGCCGCAUUUGUGGGCAUGGGGAAGAGUGGUUGCUGCUGCUGGGGUUGGUUCUGAUGCUG
RNAcentral lists this unclassified non-coding RNA (523 nucleotides) under Hevea brasiliensis (rubber tree). Lineage: Eukaryota; Viridiplantae; Streptophyta; Magnoliopsida; Malpighiales; Euphorbiaceae. The record is from RNAcentral.